Molecule: non-coding RNA, 879 nt
Organism: Paramuricea clavata
Lineage: Eukaryota; Metazoa; Cnidaria; Anthozoa; Malacalcyonacea; Plexauridae
Source: the annotation of a GenBank genome assembly
UGUAGCAGCCGCGACUUCCGGCUGACGGACUUCCGGGUUUUUCGCGCCAUUUUUAGAUUGAAGUAGCUUAGCGAUAUCGAACUUUGGGGCGCUUUGUUGUGUUGCUGACUUGUUCCUACGUUUUUCGCCAGAUACCAGUGUCCUGUCAUAGAUAUUUGUAAGUAGAUUGUCAGUAUUUAUAUCUGCUUCUGUCCAGUAUUCAGUAAUUCGUAUUUAUCCGUGUAAUUCCUGUAUAUUUGUGUUUGUAUUUAGCACCGUUCGUUAUUGAUUGAAAAUAAAUUAAGAAUUAUUUGAAACGCGUUGAAACUCGAGGCCCCACAACCAGUCUAAACAGCCGUGGGGCUGGCACAGUGAAAUAUCUUCUCGGCGACUCAAAACAGCAAGAACUACGUUAUGGAAACCCAUGCAGAUGAAGCAACGACAGAGCCAACCGGCCAGAAUAGUCCCGUUUUGAACGAGAAUAACUUUACAAACGUGAUCGAAAUCGGACACGAAAAUAAACCACACAGCGAUCAAGACAGUUUAAGCGAAGUCACAGAGUGUCGUCGAAGCACUAGAGAGAGAAAACUAAACCAAAAAGGUAAAGAAUACAUUUUAGAUUUAAAGAGAAAUAUAUUCAAACAAACAAAGUGUUGUCUAGUUGAUAAAUUAUCGUCGCUUAAAACGGAAGUAAGCACUCUAGAAGGAUCGAGUAUUACAUACGAAAUUGAACAACUAGAGACUUUAGUCAAAGAAUUUAAUCAGGGUUUGGACGAAUUACUAAAACUGCUUGAACCCGAACAGCGUGAAAGCUAUAUUACAGAGUGUCAAAGCGUUUUGAACGACUGGAACAAUGUGAAGGGUUCGUUAGUUCUAAAUAUGCAAAAAUAUGAAAUCGAC